AAGUCGUAACAAGGUUUCCGUAGGUGAACCUGCGGAAGGAUCAUUAAAGAGAUUACAAAUCGACCCUGUGCACCAAAUAAAUAACUGUAGUGAUAUAUUAUAUACUAUAAUAAUGUAUACAACUUUUAGCAACGGAUCUCUAGGUUCUC
Molecule: unclassified non-coding RNA, 149 nt
Filed under: fungal sp.
Lineage: Eukaryota; Fungi
Description: partial internal transcribed spacer region
Rfam family: Eukaryotic small subunit ribosomal RNA (bases 1-46)
Source: RNAcentral